GACGAACGCUGGCGGCGUGCUUAACACAUGCAAGUCGAACGGAAAGGCCCUGCUUUUGUGGGGUGCUCGAGUGGCGAACGGGUGAGUAACACGUGAGUAACCUGCCCUUGACUUUGGGAUAACUUCAGGAAACUGGGGCUAAUACCGGAUAGGAGCUCCUGCUGCAUGGUGGGGGUUGGAAAGUUUCGGCGGUUGGGGAUGGACUCGCGGCUUAUCAGCUUGUUGGUGGGGUAGUGGCUUACCAAGGCUUUGACGGGUAGCCGGCCUGAGAGGGUGACCGGCCACAUUGGGACUGAGAUACGGCCCAGACUCCUACGGGAGGCAGCAGUGGGGAAUAUUGCACAAUGGGCGGAAGCCGGAUGCAGCAACGCCGCGUGCGGGAGGACGGCCUUCGGGUUGUAAACCGCUUUCGCCUGUGACGAAGCGUGAGUGACGGUAAGGGGUAAAGAAGCACCGGCUAACUACGUGC
RNAcentral lists this ribosomal RNA (469 nucleotides) under uncultured bacterium. RNAcentral's name for it is "partial 16S ribosomal RNA". It matches the Rfam family "Bacterial small subunit ribosomal RNA", at positions 28 to 508 of the family's 1533-position model. The record is from RNAcentral.